Molecule: ribosomal RNA, 496 nt
Filed under: uncultured Herbaspirillum sp.
Lineage: Bacteria; Pseudomonadati; Pseudomonadota; Betaproteobacteria; Burkholderiales; Oxalobacteraceae
Description: bacterial SSU rRNA
Rfam family: Bacterial small subunit ribosomal RNA
Source: RNAcentral
CGUGUGUGAAGAAGGCCUUCGGGUUGUAAAGCACUUUUGUCCGGAAAGAAANCNCUNGGGNUAAUACNGGGGGNGGAUGACGGUACCGGAAGAAUAAGCACCGGCUAACUACGUGCCAGCAGCCGCGGUAAUACGUAGGGUGCGAGCGUUAAUCGGAAUUACUGGGCGUAAAGCGUGCGCAGGCGGUUUUGUAAGACAGGCGUGAAAUCCCCGAGCUCAACUUGGGAAUKGCGCUUGUGACUGCAAGGCUAGAGUAUGUCAGAGGGGGGUAGAAUUCCACGUGUAGCAGUGAAAUGCGUAGAGAUGUGGAGGAAUACCGAUGGCGAAGGCAGCCCCCUGGGACGUCACUGACGCUCAUGCACGAAAGCGUGGGGAGCAAACAGGAUUAGAUACCCUGGUAGUCCACGCCCUAAACGAUGUCAACUAGUUGUUGGGGAUUCAUUUCUUCAGUAACGUAGCUAACGCGUGAAGUUGACCGCCUGGGGAGUACGGUCGC